Aegilops tauschii subsp. strangulata is the source of this 1088-nucleotide non-coding RNA. Lineage: Eukaryota; Viridiplantae; Streptophyta; Magnoliopsida; Poales; Poaceae. The record is from RefSeq and is a predicted model, not a curated record.
ACCAGUUAACGGGAAGCGCAGCUCUCCGACUAUAUCUCAGCAAUCGAUGGGGAAGGUGAAUCCAGAGACUCCUGGAUGGACAAAAAGGGUAACGAUUGGUGUGGCUGCGUAAAGGAGGACACCUUGUCCUAAUCGCCCAAGUUCGUUGGAGAAAGCAAUUCGUGGGUUCGCUGAGAAUCCAGGGGAAAAUGUGAUUGUACUGAAACUGGGUAUAAGAUUUGAUCUUUAGGUGAAGCAUAUAACUUGUACUCCUGCGGGAAGGGGUUUGGUAUUACAUAUUGAAAAAGCAGACUAAAUGUUUAAAGGACAAAAUGCAGGCAGGAAAUCAUUUGCAGCUGUGCGGGAAGGCUGGCGUUGAGAACAGUCGGUCAUGCCAUUGUGAGUGUUGGGCUCUUAUACGAUUGUUGCGAUCGAAAGGCAAUGGUUGGUGCAUAUCAGAGCAUCGGGAGCAACACAUCCAAUCUUUGUCUCCUAAUUGCGGAGAGACAAUACCCUGCCUUCACAGAAACACAUCGACGUUUACAACCGAGACUGGUGAAGCAGCUACGGCAAAAUAACGUCAAUCUAGCCAAGGUAUACAACAUCAUAGAGAGUUUUUUCACCAAGCGAGCUCUCCAUAAUUUGUGUGGGGAAAUAAACCAUGAGCAGGCAUAGGACGAUGUGAGCAAAACUAUGUAGGUUUUCACUGAACUGGGUGCAAAGGAUCGACAUUUCACGUAUCUUGUGCAGGCUGAUAAGGAAGGGUGAAUCAGUAAAAUUUGGGUGAAUGGGAGCAGUAGAUUGCAGUAAAAUUUUGAGGAUAACACAAAAAAAUCAAAAUUUUAACAACAAGGGCAGGAGGUUUGCCCAAGCUGUGUAGUGUAUAAGCAGGGGGGUGAGGGGUAGGUGAGGGGCACACUCUGAUUUCAGUCAUCCACGUGAAGCUGUAGUUGGAAUAAGAUCAAGUUUCAGUGGGAGGUGAAAUAGAGUGAAUGGCUCUGACCGACUUAUCUAGCGCCUCCUCUGUGGCUACGGGUUUCAAAAUAUACUGAACUGAUUAUAGAUGAUUCUGAUUAACAGCUGUAAGUUCAGAGCAUUAGCUCAGUUCC